AUCGACCCCAAAGCAUGUUAACACCAUCCACUAGGGCUUGGUUGACUGGCCUCCCCGAGUAUACCAUCAACAGCUGGGCCGAGCUGAAGGCUCGAU
Molecule: small nucleolar RNA, 96 nt
Organism: Oryza sativa Japonica Group (Japanese rice)
Lineage: Eukaryota; Viridiplantae; Streptophyta; Magnoliopsida; Poales; Poaceae
Rfam family: Small nucleolar RNA Z256
About the family: Z256 is a member of the C/D class of snoRNA which contain the C (UGAUGA) and D (CUGA) box motifs. Most of the members of the box C/D family function in directing site-specific 2'-O-methylation of substrate RNAs.
Source: Rfam